CUCUUUUUAGAUGAAUGGCCACUUGCCAAGGGGGUGUCCCACAUGGGCAAGACGCUGGAGAAGCCCUUGUCCCACAUGUCCUGCUUCCUUGGUGUGGUGUUUUGGGACCUUGGGGGAUACUGGGGCUCUGUCCCUGCCCUGUUGUGCUGAGGAGCCAGUUGUGCACAGCAGGAGCUAGACCUGCUGCCAUCUGGUUGGAUGCACCUGCGCUAAUAAUAGAGCGGUGGAAGGAGCCUGGGUCCCCUAGAGGAUCACGUCCCACGGCUGCACCACGGCUGCCCUCCUCUCCCAGCUCUGGUGUGGGCAUUCCAACUUCCCCACCCUGGGAUGUGAACCAUCU
This 340-nucleotide long non-coding RNA is filed under the name Gallus gallus (chicken). The record is from RNAcentral. Lineage: Eukaryota; Metazoa; Chordata; Aves; Galliformes; Phasianidae.